Molecule: ribosomal RNA, 1795 nt
Filed under: Rotylenchulus reniformis
Lineage: Eukaryota; Metazoa; Nematoda; Chromadorea; Rhabditida; Hoplolaimidae
Description: SSU rRNA
Rfam family: Eukaryotic small subunit ribosomal RNA
Source: RNAcentral
UCUGGUUGAUCCUGCCUGAACUGAUGUGUUCAUUUCAAAGAUUAAGCCAUGCAUGUAUAAGUAUAAUCUGCCAGUCAGAGAAACUGCGUACGGCUCAUUACACCAGCCUUAAUUUACUUGACCUUGACACCCUACUUGGAUAACUGUGGUAAUUCUAGAGCUAAUACAUGCACCAAAGCUCCAAUCUCCCCAGAGCGGAGCGCAUUUGUUCGCCACAAAACCAAGCGCCUCAGGGCGUUCAGUGUUGACUCAGAACAACUAAGCUGAUCGCACGGUCUUGCACCGGCGACGUGUCUUUCAAGUGUCUGCCUUAUCAACUUUCGAUGGUAGUGUAUCUGACUACCAUGGUGAUGACGGGUAACGGAGGAUAAGGGUUCGACUCCGGAGAAGGGGCCUGAGAAAUGGCCACUACGUCUAAGGAUGGCAGCAGGCGCGCAAAUUACCCACUCUCGACGCGAGGAGGUAGUGACGAGAAAUAACGAGACCGUUCUCAUCUGAGGCCGGUCAUCGGAAUGGGUACAAUUUAAACCCUUUAACGAGUAUCUAUGAGAGGGCAAGUCUGGUGCCAGCAGCCGCGGUAAUUCCAGCUCUCAAAAUGCAUAGAAUUAUUGCUGCGGUUAAAAAGCUCGUAGUUGGAUCUGUGCUGAGCGACCGGUCUGCCCACUGGGCACGCACUGGCUCGCCCGGCUUUCCCUGCCGGUCUCUCUCUGACGUUGGUUUUAACCGGCUGGCGUCAGUGGGCUGGCGAGUUUACUUUGAACAAAUCAGAGUGCUUCAAACAGGCGUCUCGCCUGAAUGUUCGUGCAUGGAAUAAUAGAAGAGGAUCACGGUCCGAUUUUAUUGGUUUUGCUGACCGAGAUAAUGGUUAACAGAGACAAACGGGGCCAUUCGUAUUGCUACGUGAGAGGUGAAAUUCUUGGACCGUAGCAAGACGGACUACAGCGAAAGCAUUUGGCAAGAAUGUCUUCAUUAAUCAAGAACGAAAGUCAGAGGUUCGAAGGCGAUCAGAUACCGCCCUAGUUCUGACCGUAAACGAUGCCAACUAGCGAUCCGCCGGCGGAUUCAUUCGCCCUGGUGGGGAGCUUCCCGGAAACGAAAGUCUUCCGGUUCCGGGGGAAGUAUGGUUGCAAAGCUGAAACUUAAAGGAAUUGACGGAAGGGCACCACCAGGAGUGGAGCCUGCGGCUUAAUUUGACUCAACACGGGGAAACUCACCCGGCCCGGACACCGUAAGGAUUGACAGAUUGAUAGCUUUUUCAUGAUUCGGUGGAUGGUGGUGCAUGGCCGUUCUUAGUUCGUGGAGCGAUUUGUCUGGUUUAUUCCGAUAACGAGCGAGACUCUGGCCUACUAAAUAGUUGGCACAUUGCCACUGUGUGCACAACUUCUUAGAGGGAUUUUCGGUGUUCAGCCGCACGAAAUUGAGCAAUAACAGGUCUGUGAUGCCCUUAGAUGUCCGGGGCUGCACGCGCGCUACACUGGCAAAAUCAGCGUGCUUGUCCUCCCCCGAAAGGGGUUGGUAAACCGAUGAAAAUUUGCCGUGAUUGGGAUCGGACAUUGCAAUUAUUGUCCGUGAACGAGGAAUCCCUUGUAAGGGCGAGUCAUCAACUCGUCCUGAAUACGUCCCUGCCCUUUGUACACACCGCCCGUCGCUGCCCGGGACUGAGCCAUUUCGAGAAAACCGGGGAUUGUUGGCCUGACGGCUCUCGGGUCGUCUAGUCGAUGAGAACCGGCUUAAUCGCACUGGUUUGAACCGGGCAAAAGUCGUAACAAGGUAGCUGUAGGUGAACCUGCUGCUG